GAGAGAAUAGCUUAGUGGUAGAGCAUUCGUCCGCAGAUCGAGAGAUCCGUGGUUCAAUUCUGCGUACCCACU
Molecule: transfer RNA, 72 nt
Filed under: Angiostrongylus costaricensis
Lineage: Eukaryota; Metazoa; Nematoda; Chromadorea; Rhabditida; Metastrongylidae
Rfam family: tRNA
About the family: Transfer RNA (tRNA) molecules are approximately 80 nucleotides in length. Their secondary structure includes four short double-helical elements and three loops (D, anti-codon, and T loops). Further hydrogen bonds mediate the characteristic L-shaped molecular structure. tRNAs have two regions of fundamental functional importance: the anti-codon, which is responsible for specific mRNA codon recognition, and the 3' end, to which the tRNAs corresponding amino acid is attached (by aminoacyl-tRNA synthetases). tRNAs cope with the degeneracy of the genetic code in two manners: having more than one tRNA (with a specific anti-codon) for a particular amino acid; and 'wobble' base-pairing, i.e. permitting non-standard base-pairing at the 3rd anti-codon position.
Source: Rfam by way of RNAcentral